This 253-nucleotide ribosomal RNA is filed under the name uncultured bacterium. RNAcentral's name for it is "partial 16S ribosomal RNA". It matches the Rfam family "Bacterial small subunit ribosomal RNA", at positions 524 to 776 of the family's 1533-position model. The record is from RNAcentral.
UACAGAGGGGGCAAGCGUUGUUCAGAAUUACUGGGCGUAAAGGGCGCGUAGGCGGCCUGUUAAGUCGAACGUGAAAUCCCCGGGCUCAACCCGGGUACUGCGUCCGAUACUGGCAGGCUUGAAUUCGGGAGAGGGAUGUGGAAUUCCAGGUGUAGCGGUGAAAUGCGCAGAUAUCAGGAGGAACACCAAUGGCGAAGGCAGCUCGCUGGGACGGUACUGACGCUGAGACGCGAAAGCGUGGGGAGCAAACAGG